UACGUAGGGUGCAGGCGUUAAUCGGAAUUACUGGGCGUAAAGCGUGCGCAGGCGGCUAUGCAAGACAGAUGUGAAAUCCCCGGGCUCAACCUGGGAACUGCAUUUGUGACUGCAUAGCUAGAGUACGGUAGAGGGGGAUGGAAUUCCGCGUGUAGCAGUGAAAUGCGUAGAUAUGCGGAGGAACACCGAUGGCGAAGGCAAUCCCCUGGACCUG
Molecule: ribosomal RNA, 214 nt
Filed under: uncultured bacterium
Lineage: Bacteria
Description: partial 16S ribosomal RNA
Rfam family: Bacterial small subunit ribosomal RNA
Source: RNAcentral